AAAGCGAAGAGUUUGAUCCUGGCUCAGAACGAACGCUGGCGGCGUGGCUAAGGCAUGCAAGUCGAACGGGACUCUUGUGGUAGCAAUAUUACGGGAGUUGAGUGGCGGACGGGUGAGUAAUGCAUGGGUAACGUACCUUGAACACAGGGAUAGCGGCGCCCCGCAAGGGGCUUUAGCGAAAGUGCCGGUAAUACCUGAUGACAUCCAGGGGCCUCAUGGCUUCUGGCUCAAAGAUGGGGACCCUUCGGGGCCUAUUGGUUCGAGAUCGGCCCAUGUCCUAUCAGCUAGUUGGUGGGGUAACGGCCUACCAAGGCUAUGACGGGUAGCCGGCGUGAGAGCGCGACCGGCCACAUCGGGACUGAGACACUGCCCGGACACCUACGGGUGGCUGCAGCAACGAAUAUUCCGCAAUGGGCGAAAGCCUGACGGAGCGACGCCGCGUGGAGGACGAAGUCCCUCGGGAUGUAAACUUCAAUAGUAUGCCAGGAAGCGAGCCGACCUAAUACGUCGGCGAGUUGACCAUCAUAUGACAGGGGCGGCUAACUCCGUGCCAGCAGCCGCGGUAAGACGGAGGCCCCGAGCGUUGUUCGGAAUCACUGGGCUUAAAGCGCGUGUAGGCGGGACGGUAAGUACCUUGUGAAAUCCCCGGCUUCAACCCGGGAACUGCUCGGUAUACUGUCGUUCUUGAGGCAAGUAGGGGUUACUGGAACCUUAGGUGGAGCGGUGAAAUGCGUAGAUAUCUAAGGGAACGCCAGGGGCGAAAGCGGGUAACUGGGCUUGUCCUGACGCUGAGACGCGAAAGCGUAGGGAGCAAACGGGAUUAGAUACCCCGGUAGUCUACGCCGUAAACGAUGCGCACUAGGUACGAGGGUCUCUGACGUCUCUCGUGCCGAAACAAAAGCGCUAAGUGCGCCGCCUGGGGAGUACGGCCGCAAGGCUAAAACUCAAAGGAAUUGACGGGGGCUCACACAAGCGGUGGAGCAUGUGGAUCAAUUCGAAGCAACGCGCAGAACCUUACCUAGGUUUGACAUGCACGGAUGGUCUCGGGGAAACUCGAGUAAUCUGCCUUCGGGUGAAACGUGCACAGGUGCUGCAUGGCUGUCGUCAGCUCGUGCUGUGAAGUGUCGGGUUAAGUCCCUUAACGAGCGAAACCCUUGUCGCUAGUUGCCAGCGGGUCAUGCCGGGAACUCUAGCGAGACUGCCGGCGUUAAGCCGGAGGAAGGUGGGGACGACGUCAAGUCAUCAUGGCCUUUAUGCCUAGGGCGUCACACGUGCUACAAUGGGGCGUACAGAGCGAAGCAAGACCGCGAGGUGGAGCAAAUCGCAGAAAACGUCCCUCAGUUCAGAUUGGGGUCUGCAAUUCGACCCCAUGAAGUCGGAAUCGCUAGUAAUCGCGCAUCAGCCAUGGCGCGGUGAAUGAGUUCCUGAGCCUUGUACACACCGCCCGUCAAGUCAUGGGAGCUGGGAGUUCCCGAAGUCGCUGUGAUUCGACAGUGCCGACGGAAAGCCCGGUGACUGGGACUAAGUCGUAACAAGGUAGCCGUAGGGGAACCUGCGGCUGGAUCACCUCCUUU
Molecule: ribosomal RNA, 1574 nt
Filed under: Phycisphaerae bacterium
Lineage: Bacteria; Pseudomonadati; Planctomycetota; Phycisphaerae
Description: bacterial SSU rRNA
Rfam family: Bacterial small subunit ribosomal RNA
Source: RNAcentral